Long non-coding RNA from Anneissia japonica, 2601 nucleotides. RefSeq lists it as uncharacterized. The record is from RefSeq and is a predicted model, not a curated record. The transcript is spliced from 2 exons. Lineage: Eukaryota; Metazoa; Echinodermata; Crinoidea; Comatulida; Comatulidae.
GAGCGGUCAAGGGUCAAAAGUUUCCAAUUUAGCAAGAGGGCGCCAUUCAUGCCUUAUUACAGAAUUUGCACGCGUAAAUCGCGGAGAACGCUAUCUUGUGUUUAUAAGAUCUUUGGCAGUAACAUCCAUUUUGAAUUAAUCAAAACUUUUGAAUGAUUGAUGUUCUCAUUGACAUGUCUGAUUUUUGAUGCAGUGACACCUGAACCGGUAAAUAUUCUUUAUUCAAUGUUUAAGUAAUAUACAAGGAACAUAUUGAUGUACUUUCUGGUUAGCGGAAAUAUUGUGGUAUUAUGCCUUGUUUAAUUUAGAUAAACGGGUGUUGCUUUGGCUCUUUAUGGAGUUCUCACGGAGUCGGGUGUUCGUAUUAAUGUACGCAUUGAUGUAUGUGUAGGCGUAGCCUAGGUCUAGUUAAUUGUUAUAUCAUUCCAUGCAAACAUAUUCAGGAAAUAAGAUGAUUUUACUAUAUUUCUUGUACUCAUAAUUGUAUUGAUAAUCACCAUGACAAUUGCUAUGUUGAACAAUUUGAUUAUUUUAUGAUAUUGCAUUGUAAGCAUUCUAGGCUUAAAUUUAAAGUUAUUGUGUUUGAAUUAAACUUCCUUCAUUGAUGAUUCGCUGAAAGUCGUCGUACACUCGAUGCGGGUCCGUUCCGCUUGAUUGAGCAGCACAGCAGGAUACUGUUAAUACUGUUAUUGUUGUUAACUAUGAUAUUUCUCUAUACUAGGAUCUACAUUCGACUGUGGAAUCAUUUGUAAUACAUUGACUUACCUAUGAAAACGAUUAUAAUAAUAAUAAUUAGUAAUUACAGUUGAUACUGUGGAUGAACAGUGUUGAUAAUAAUAUGAUAAAUAACUACAUAAGCCUCAUUUAAUUAAUUAGUGUUAUGAUUGUAUUUUCUGAAUGUUAAUAAUUAUGAUUGUUGUUAUUUGAUUGCCAGAAUUUUACGACACGGCUUGAUAUGAUGGCAAGAAAUAUAGAAUAAAUGAUACAGCCGAAGCCAGUAAAAUCGUUUCAGUGUCCUUUUUGAUCAGCAUAUUAAAACUGCUACGUUGAGGCAGCUAACACUAUGUUAUUUUACUAAAGGGAUUUCAAUUGCAUUUAUAAAUCUCACUGGUACUGUAUAAAAGUAGUUAUCAAUUGUUGGUAUACCACGGCGUAUCAAGUGGACUUGGAACGUCUUCCUUCAUACAGUACAACAUUGUCGGCUGAAAGUAUAAGUAUAAUUUGUUUCGAUAUAUUAGUUGGGAAUAACCUUGCAUGCACUGUAACAUUGUUUGACCUUAUCGACCGGACUAAAGGCAGCUAAUGCUGAACGGAGACGUGACCUCGCACGCUUUUUUUUUUUUUCAUCCACAGCUCUAACCUACCUUUUAAUGUAAUCAUAAAAUCAAGAUUACAAAUAUUUGUGUAAUAUAAAAAUAAGAAACCUAUUUUGCAGAAUCAGGGAGUAUUACUAAGAGAAAAUGUCUAAUUGCACAACCUAUGAAAAUUUAUUUCAAGUCCCAAAUCACUAAAAAGUAACAAUGUUACUAUUACUUUAAUAUUUGGUUUAUAUACUUUAAAUCAUUAUGCUUGUUUUCAUUGUUUUGCUUCUCGUUCCAUGCGAAUCCAUUACGAUUCUUUAGUUUUCCACGAUAUUUUCCGAAUUUUCAGUAAUCAUUUUUGACUUACUAUUCCUCUGAUAACCCAGAGCAGGAGACGAGCGAUUUAGAAUACGUUGAUGAUGAAGAAGAGGAGUCAGAAGUAAAAGUAGUGAUUUUUAUUAUUGAAGACGUCAAUUUUGAUGAUCCAGCCAAAUGAAGUUGCACAAAGGAUUGUAGAUGAUGAACAGAAGACUGGGUGGUAAAGAAACCAUCAUUAACGAGAAUGGACAAUAAUUACAGAAAAAGAAAUCAUGAUUACUGCUGUUGAACUGAACCAGCUGCAAGAUAAUCAAACAGUACCUACAUAAAAUCCAACUGAGGCAGUUGGCCACUUGUAUUAGGCCUAUGCGUCAACAAUAUUCCAGCACUUUUCAGGUGUGCAGAUAAGGCCCUUAGCACAUACUCAGACGCUAAAAGAAUAGUUAUAACCGUCGAAAUGUCAAAGUUUUUUUCACCAAUACAAUAAUUUGUAGAUUAUAAUUAAAGUUAAAAACUGAGAUACAAUUAUACUGCUAUUAAGUCACAUUUUGGUUUAUAUGAUGACUGGACUAUGGAAAAUCUACGAGUAAAAUAAUGUUAAUUUUUGUAGGUAAGUAGGCCUAUAACACAUGUCUCUCCAAGAUAAUUUUUAGUUGAUAUAUGGCAAGCUGUUUUAUUUUACUUAAUACAGCUGAUGCUACCGAAUUUAUACAUUUUGUAGGCCUACAAUAACGAAUUAGGCAAUUAGUAGAGAGCUUUCGUUAUCUCUGAACCAAUCCGCUGAGAAAAGUGCACAUUCUGUGUAUGAUCAUCACCAGUUUAGGACUAGUUUUAGUUUUCUCGUACUCGAAAGCAACCCGAGAUUCAGCCGCUGAUCUCGGGCGAUAAAUCGAGAAGCAGAAACCGGGGCAGAAACAGAAUGUAUUUGCAACAUUUCAAUGAAAUUUAAUUAUAUUUUAUUAUAUUAAAUUAUUAUAUACUA